GGAAGUGUGCCCGAAUAUCCAAGGGCCACUUUGAUAGAGUGGAUUAUAGAGGUUCAAGUCCUCUCACUUCCU
Molecule: transfer RNA, 72 nt
Filed under: Petrocephalus microphthalmus
Lineage: Eukaryota; Metazoa; Chordata; Actinopteri; Osteoglossiformes; Mormyridae
Description: tRNA-Ile
Rfam family: tRNA
About the family: Transfer RNA (tRNA) molecules are approximately 80 nucleotides in length.
Source: RNAcentral